Long non-coding RNA from Cyprinus carpio (common carp), 444 nucleotides. RefSeq lists it as uncharacterized. Lineage: Eukaryota; Metazoa; Chordata; Actinopteri; Cypriniformes; Cyprinidae. The transcript has 3 exons. The record is from RefSeq and is a predicted model, not a curated record.
GUGCUUGUAUGUUUACAGAGACUGUGGCCACCUGAGAGAUUUCACCGCAAGAAUAAGGAUUAAUACAGAGUGUCUAGCAUUCACAUGUGAGGGUGGAAAAUUGCUGUCUCCCUUUCCUGUGAUAAAGCUGUUGCCUGUGUGCUGGGAAAGUGAAAUCCAUCAUGCGACGGAGAGGGUUUAUUCCACCAUUCCGCCCCAUUGAGGCCCGUAACACGAACUUUGCCACUCCACUAUAAACCACAGGCUGUGUCUGCCAGUGUGAAGCGAACACCAUGUUCUGUGUACAAGAACAAGAAGUCUGUGCCAUGUAUCGCUCAAGAACAUUCCCCUUAUUCCAACAAAGUUCACACUACCCUCUGCCAAAUGGCCAGCCAGCCUCUUCACAGGUCCUCCAAAACCUUCUCCACAACACCUGUGAUAAAAGAGAUGUGUCUAUAGCUCCAA